CUCUUUCUAGAGGAAAGCGCUUCUGUCUGGCUCAGAAUAAAUCAGAUGCCAGAAGAGUAAUUAUGCGUAUUGAUGUAUUCUAUCCAUUAUUUUAUUACAGUUGUUUGUAUGCAAUCCCAUCUGUGUGCGUGUAAACUGGCGAAACUGAACAUUGGAGCGAGGGAAAACGUUUCUGAUGACGUAGAACUUCAAACUUUAGGCGCCGAGAUUGAGAACGAAGACCGAGAACAAAGAGGAACUUGAAGAAUCAGCAUGUGACGACGGAUAUUGAAAUGCAGUCAUCCUUAUCCAGAAAACUGAGGCAUUUAAUAGAAGGAAAAGAAACUAUAGGGAAAAAGAAGAGGGCAUGUAGAAAACAUACACACAGAGGAAAGAAAGUUACCAGAAUUAUACGAACAAAAUCUCAGUUUGCAGGAUCGAAAUCAAGUUUGUUCAGCUGGAUGAAGUUUGUUUACAGAUUCGCUCAAGGUCUUCGAUUGAGACAAAUUGAUACGAUUGAAGAUGGGAUAGCUAAAAACAGCUGUACAUUAUCCACAAUGGCAAAACGGCUGCGAGUCAUUUGCUCCACAGCCAUAAAAGCCCACAAGGAGAAGAAUAAAAUGAAGAUUGGAGGAUGCCAAUCUUAUAUUGUCCUUGAUGAAAGCAAGUUUGCUCACAAACGUAAGGUAACUUUGAUCAAAGACUGUUCAUUUGUAAAGUCACUUAAAGUGUAUUAAAGAAAAACCUCAGUGAAAUACAGUAUUUUUGUACUUAUGCUUAUAGUAUGAGCAGUCAAAUAUUUUAAGCGUUUGACUGUUUUCCUAGGUGUUUCGAUGGCAGGGAGCACUCUAAAUUACUACUGGAAAAAAGACUAUAGGUUGUAUAGUAUCGUACUCCUUUGCAAUAUGAUUUUUUAAAUACACUUAAAAAAUAAAUAAAAAGGAGGGUAUUCUGUGCAGACAGUUUUAGAAGGUGCAACUUUUGGUAAACUAUUUCAUUAACAACACAGGGACUUCUACUUGUGUUUCUUCUGUGAAUAUCAUUAUGAAUAUAUGGGAUAUUAGUACCAUCUAGUGAUUAAAAGACUGAUAAUUGCUUUUGUUGUCAGAUCUUAAAUUAAAGUUGCAUUGAUUUCUUAGACACACCUUCCUAGUACUCAGUACUAGUACAAUUAAAAUACAUGUUUUCUUGACCUGAAAAAGGGCACAAGUGAAUGCAUCACGAUACUGAGUAAUAUUGCUGAUGUAAACCCUAUGUACAAUCCUCAAUUGCCUCUAAAUUGACUUUUAAUACAGUGAUCGUCAAUCAUUAAACAGUAACCACCAUGUAUAUUUUAAAACCAUAUAUUGUUUGUUACUUAAACAUUUUUUGAGUAAUCAUGUACAUGAUCAUACUAACCUAUUGCAAUAAUAUUUAUGGUAUAAAUUAAUGUUUAAAAAUGCAGUAGUCCAGGUGUGUGUACACCAUGUACCACAUAUUGGUUGAUUACAACAGUUAGAACAAAAAAAAGACUUAAAAGAAAGUGGUCUCUGAGUCCCAGACUCCCAUAUACAGGACCUGCUGGAAUGAACAUUAAAAAAGAAGGUUAUUGAAAGAUAUAAGAAGGGCAACUAAGUACAUUUUAAAAAGAAAUGUAAAGAUCUUUUUGUCAAAUUAAUAACUUCAGGGAUGCAAAGAC
Molecule: long non-coding RNA, 1657 nt
Organism: Acipenser ruthenus (sterlet)
Lineage: Eukaryota; Metazoa; Chordata; Actinopteri; Acipenseriformes; Acipenseridae
Exons: 5
Source: RefSeq, a predicted model, not a curated record